UCAGGCAUCCUGGGUUGGAGUCCUGUGCUAAUUAUCUGUCUGUGUGGGGUUUGCAUGUCCUCCUUCUGCCUGAAUGGGUUUUUGUCUGGAUAAUCAAGUUUUGUCCCACAUCCCAAAGAUGUUAAUUGUUGAUGUGUAUGAAUGUCUGCACAUGAUUAGAUUCUGCAAUGGACGGGCACCAUGUCCUGGAUAGUUUACUUAAUUCUGUGAUGAAACAUGUUUGCCUGGUUAAGUAAAAGAAACAGAGAGAGAGAGAAAGAAAGGGAGAGAUUUACCGCUACACCAUUACCUUAUUUUCUGUCUGUCACUCAGGCAAUGUGAGCUGUGUUACUGAUACAAAAACCAUACCUCAUUCACUCCAGAUGCAUAUUUAUUUUUGACCUCUUUAACUUCUCUCAGUCAGAAAAACACACCACACCACACUUGUUUUUUUAACUCUUCAACAACUCUUUGUAGUUCAGUAGAAUUAAUUCAAUUUGACUAGCAACCUAUUAUAAAACAGUCGGCUGUUCCAGCUUUUCACUUUGCCUUUUCAACUUGUUUUGUCACCAGUACCACAAAAACUGCACUAGUCUCUGUAACACUCCUUUUAGGGCUGUAAGUGUCUCAUGAACUGUUCAGUGGUUUGAAAGUCACCAUUCUUUUUCAUUGUAUUUCCUCUCACUCUGAUACUGAUAAUGUUUAGUUUUCAUCCAAUGCAAACUAAGGAAGGCAUCUACACGCCUCAACUACAGUUGCCCUGUGCCUCAACACUGUCCUCAGAUCAUAACCAAACAUCACUUUGGAGAUAUUCAGUGCUUUACUUACUUAAAAUUUUAGACACUGCUACUUUGAAACUACCCCACCAGUUUGGUAGAAGACACUUUUCCUAGAAAAACAAGGUGAGGCAUUCCUACCUAAGUGAACACAAUGGAACUGCUGUAGCAUGAAGUGAAGAAUGUCACUAAAGGCAUGGCAAGGCGAAUCAAAGACAGUAAACUGUAGGGGUAAGAACAAGGACAAAAGG
Erpetoichthys calabaricus (reedfish) is the source of this 1006-nucleotide long non-coding RNA. RefSeq lists it as uncharacterized. The transcript is spliced from 3 exons. NCBI's taxonomy places the organism in Eukaryota, Metazoa, Chordata, Cladistia, Polypteriformes, Polypteridae. The record is from RefSeq and is a predicted model, not a curated record.